CAUCCUCUCUCCAAAUGUCUCUGAAAAACACUGGAUGAUCAACUAAAAUUCAGAGAGGAUUAGUAACUGCCACCUAGGUUACACAUUAAGGAGCAAAUAGAGAUUUUGCCAAAGGCAGACAGAUUCCAGAGCCUGUGUUCUUAAUCACAGAAACCUUGGCUAUUGUCUCUCUUCUCAUUCAUAAAAAAACUAUCCCUAAUUGUUUGUUUUGCUACAUAAUCUCCCUUUCUAAAUCUAAAACAGAUAAGAGAUUUGUAGAUAUGAUGGAAAAUGAGCUGUUCAUGACUGGCCACUAAUUAAUUCUGGUAAAUGGAAAGAAGGAAUUAACUUCUCCAACUGAAAUCCAAAGCAAAAGAGCCGAAAUGCAGUAGAGUGGGAAACGACUACAAUUUAAGAGUAAAAGCUUUCUCUUAGGCAGAUAGUCAUGACAAGCAAAUCCUAAGACUGCACCUGACCGAGUCAAUAUUUGCUCCUUGAACACUACUUCUACUUGUUCAUUACAAGGGUUUAUCUGGAAGGUUACAGAUAAAUCAGUUACUGAAUCCAUAUGAGCACUGCC
This 559-nucleotide non-coding RNA is filed under the name Pongo abelii (Sumatran orangutan). Lineage: Eukaryota; Metazoa; Chordata; Mammalia; Primates; Hominidae. The record is from RNAcentral.